Molecule: ribosomal RNA, 452 nt
Filed under: Bacillus sp. R-27431
Lineage: Bacteria; Bacillati; Bacillota; Bacilli; Caryophanales; Bacillaceae
Description: bacterial SSU rRNA
Rfam family: Bacterial small subunit ribosomal RNA
Source: RNAcentral
GAACGCUGGCGGCGUGCCUAAUACAUGCAAGUCGAGCGGACCGAYGGGAGCUUGCUCCCUUAGGUCAGCGGCGGACGGGUGAGUAACACGUGGGUAACCUGCCUGUAAGACUGGGAUAACUCCGGGAAACCGGGGCUAAUACCGGAUGCUUGAUUGAACCGCAUGGUUCAAUCAUAAAAGGUGGCUUUUAGCUACCACUURCAGAUGGACCCGCGGCGCAUUAGCUAGUUGGUGAGGUAACGGCUCACCAAGGCGACGAUGCGUAGCCGACCUGAGAGGGUGAUCGGCCACACUGGGACUGAGACACGGCCCAGACUCCUACGGGAGGCAGCAGUAGGGAAUCUUCCGCAAUGGACGAAAGUCUGACGGAGCAACGCCGCGUGAGUGAUGAAGGUUUUCGGAUCGUAAAACUCUGUUGUUAGGGAAGAACAAGUACCGUUCGAAUAGGGCGG